ACUACUCUAUUUCCCUUUAGAAGGAGAUCUGUGCUUCCCCCUAUAGCCCAUCUCUACCUAGCCUUUCUGGGUUUGUGGAGUAUGGCUUGAUUAUUAUUUACCCAGUAGGUAAUAUCCACUUAUAAGUGAAUGCAUGCCAUGUGUGUCAUUCUGGGUGUGGGUUACUUCACUUAGGGUCGUUUUGUUUUGUUUUAAGUUGCAUUCACUUUGCUGAAAAUUCACAAUUUCGGGUGUUUUUGUUUGUUUGUUUUUAAACAGCUAAGUGAUACUCCAUUGUAUAAAUGGACCACAGUUUUUUUGGGUUUUUUUUUUUUUGUUUGUUUGUUUUUUGUUUUUGUUUUGUUUUUUUUUUUAAUCCAUUCUGCAGUUGAGGUACCUCUUGGUUGUUUCCAGUUUCUGGCUAGGAUGAAUAAAUGUGCUAUGAACCUAGUUGAGCAAAUAUCCCUGUGGUAGGGAGGAGCACCUUUUGGAUAGAUUCCCAAGAGCCGUAUAGCUGGGUUUUGGGUAGAUGGAUUCUCACUGUUGUGAGGGACCACAAUUCUGAGGAAAUACUGAUUUCUAUAGUGAUGGUAUUAGUUUGUACCCCACAAGGAGGUGGGGUUUGUUCCCCUUUCUCCACAUCCUUGCCAGCAUGAGCUGUCACUUGUAUUAUUGAUCUCAACCAUUCUGACAUUUACAAGAAAGAUGCUCAAAGUAAUUUUGAUUUGCAUUCCCCUCAUGACUAAGAUGGCGAUGAUUUCAUUAAGUAUUUCUCAGCUUUUUGAGACUCUGUUGAGAAUUCUCUGUUUAGAUCUAUACCACAUUAUAAAUUGAAUUUCUUGGUUUGGAUAGUCUAGUUUCUUGAGGUUGCUACAUAUUUUAUAUAUUAGGCCUCUAUAAUAUGUGAAUUUGAUUAAAAAAAAUUAUUCCCAUUCCUUAGGCAGCCUUUAUGUCCAAUUGACCAGGUUUUUGCCACUUUUAAUCCAUUUUCUUUUAUUGGCAAAGAGGAGAAACAGGACACACAGUAUUGGCCUGUAAUUUCUUAAUUUUUUUAUUAUACUCUUGUACUUCAUUUUUAAAAGACUUAUACGUCUGUCUGUCUGUCUUUUGGUCUCUCUUUAUUUGUGGUGCAAUCUACAUUGUGUGAUUUUUAUUCACUAUAAUCUAAUUAUAUUGUUGUUUCUCUGGAAAAUGAUAGACCUUCACCUAUUUUUGUCUUUUGAAAAUUUACUAUGAAUUUCUUGAGAUUUUGAUAGUUGGGAAACAGUUUUAGUUUCCUCUUCUUGAUCCUGACUGCUUGCUUCUCCCAUUUUUUGGAAACUCUGGCUUCCAGGUGAUGUAAUCAGCAAUUUUGGGGGUUUUGAUAUGGUUAACACAUUAGAUUUGGCUUUUUAAAACUUUCUGAUAUAUUAUUGUCUGUGUGUCCUAAUUAGCUUCAGUUGUCAACAUUUUGGAGCCUACACUCAUUUCUCAUUCAAAUGCCCUCAUUAAAAUGGCUGGAUGCUGUGUAUGUGAGAGAUUGUGUUGUGUGAUGAUUGAUGUGGGAAGGAAGGCUCUUCUGCUGAGGGUGUCAGGAUCCCUGAGCUAGUGUGCCUGGACUACAUAAGAGAGCUAGCUGAGCAUGAGACAGUGACCAAGCAAGAGGGCAAGGCAAGAAACAAUGGUCAUCCAUGGUUUUUGCCUAAUUUUCUUGAAGCUUGAGGUUCUCUCCUUAGCUCACAAAAUGAUGGACUGUGAUCUGACAGGACCAAACAAGUGAACAUGCUCAUUACCUGAGAUGCUUUUGGUUAGAGGAUUCAAUCAAAGUAGCAGAGUAGCAAGUUAGAACU
This 1808-nucleotide long non-coding RNA is filed under the name Mus musculus (house mouse). RNAcentral's name for it is "long non-coding RNA chr5:109872953-109874761". The record is from RNAcentral. Lineage: Eukaryota; Metazoa; Chordata; Mammalia; Rodentia; Muridae.